Octodon degus (degu) is the source of this 124-nucleotide small nuclear RNA. The record is from Ensembl. NCBI's taxonomy places the organism in Eukaryota, Metazoa, Chordata, Mammalia, Rodentia, Octodontidae.
AUGUUGUGUGAAAGGAAUGAAGGUUAGCACUCUCCUUGACAAGGAUGGAAGAGGUCCUUGGGCCUGACAACAUGCAUGGUUAAGACAUCGCCACCUACUUCUUGGCAUCUAACCCUUGUUUUUC